UAACACGUAUCCAACCUGCCGUCUACUCUUGGACAGCCUUCUGAAAGGAAGAUUAAUACAAGAUGGCAUCAUGAGUCCACAUGUUCACAUGAUUAAAGGUAUUCCGGUAGACGAUGGGGAUGCGUUCCAUUAGAUAGUAGGCGGGGUAACGGCCCACCUAGUCUUCGAUGGAUAGGGGUUCUGAGAGGAAGGUCCCCCACAUUGGAACUGAGACACGGUCCAAACUCCUACGGGAGGCAGCAGUGAGGAAUAUUGGUCAAUGGGCGAGAGCCUGAACCAGCCAAGUAGCGUGAAGGAUGACUGCCCUAUGGGUUGUAAACUUCUUUUAUAAAGGAAUAAAGUCGGGUAUGGAUACCCGUUUGCAUGUACUUUAUGAAUAAGGAUCGGCUAACUCCGUGCCAGCAGCCGCGGUAAUACGGAGGAUCCGAGCGUUAUCCGGAUUUAUUGGGUUUAAAGGGAGCGUAGAUGGAUGUUUAAGUCAGUUGUGAAAGUUUGCGGCUCAACCGUAAAAUUGCAGUUGAUACUGGAUGUCUUGAGUGCAGUUGAGGCAGGCGGAAUUCGUGGUGUAGCGGUGAGAUGCUUAGAUAUCACGAAGAACUCCGAUUGCGAAGGCAGCCUGCUAAGCUGCAACUGACAUUGAGGCUCGAAAGUGUGGGUAUCAAACAGGAUUAGAUACCCUGGUAGUCCACACGGUAAACGAUGAAUACUCGCUGU
RNAcentral lists this ribosomal RNA (714 nucleotides) under uncultured bacterium. RNAcentral describes it as "bacterial SSU rRNA". It matches the Rfam family "Bacterial small subunit ribosomal RNA", at positions 111 to 823 of the family's 1533-position model. The record is from RNAcentral.